RNAcentral lists this long non-coding RNA (876 nucleotides) under Urocitellus parryii (Arctic ground squirrel). RNAcentral's name for it is "lncRNA (ENSUPAG00010021420.1)". The record is from RNAcentral. Lineage: Eukaryota; Metazoa; Chordata; Mammalia; Rodentia; Sciuridae.
GCAUUUCACUCACGCGUGCGCCACAGGCUCUCCUUCGCGCUCGCCGCAGCUUCCGGUACCAGAGCCGAGCGCCGGAAGCGCAGGGUGUCGCGACUGGCUGUGGAGUGCGCUGCYGUCCAGCCUGUGGAGAACCCAAGUGAGACCCGUAGAGCCGCAGGCCUUAGAGACGCGAGGUUUACUGCUGAAGGUGCUGAGAAGCCGAUUGGGUAUCUGAGAGAGGAGUCAUCAACAUGGAUCCAAAACCUGAACACGAACCCGAAUCCAAAAGACUGAAGAUCACACCAUCAAUAAUGGUACCGACACAAGAGCUACCUUUAAACAUUCAGCCAAGCAAAGGAGGCAAGAAAAAGGAAGGAGCAACAAAAAGCACACUACGUGUAAAUCCCCCGACGUGGAGUCAGAUCCAGAACUUGGCAAGCAAAGCUCAGGGAGUGAUUGAGAAGCAGGGGGUCCCUGAGACACCAGCUACCAUGUUUAUGGCAAUGCUGGCUGUUCUAAGUUGUCAGUCAAAUGCAGUCUCGCCAAAUCCCAGUUCCAAUACCUCCAAGUAGACAUGCAUCGAUUGCAGUUAAAAAAUAAGAAAGGUGGAGAUGUGGAGAGCAGAUGAGCCCCUGGUUGAUGUCGGCUGAUCCUGUGGUGUUGGCAGAAGUCAAGUCUGGGAAACAUUCCUUGCCAAAAAGGCAAGGAUGCAGCAGGAUGUUCCAAGCAUUGCAACAGUAGGGUAACUGCAGAAAUAGUUCUACUUCUGUAACUUUUUAGUGUGCAGAGAAGACUCUUGGUAACUCACAAGACUUGAACAAUUUACAUUGCCCCUCUAGUUAAACUUCCUAAUUAUGAGACCCUUUAUAAUAAACUUGCAAAGCUAGUUCUGGGUCA